RNAcentral lists this unclassified non-coding RNA (242 nucleotides) under Helotiales sp. Its description in RNAcentral is "partial contains small subunit ribosomal RNA, internal transcribed spacer 1, and 5.8S ribosomal RNA". The stretch from base 1 to 46 matches the Rfam family "Eukaryotic small subunit ribosomal RNA", at positions 1786 to 1831 of the family's 1831-position model. The record is from RNAcentral. Lineage: Eukaryota; Fungi; Ascomycota; Leotiomycetes; Helotiales.
AAGUCGUAACAAGGUUUCCGUAGGUGAACCUGCGGAAGGAUCAUUACAGUGAUACCAGCCCCUGGCUGGACUCACCACCCUGUGUAUUAUUACUUGUUGCUUUGGCAGGCCGCGAGAUUGCAUUGCAAUUGAGCACCGGCUCCGGCUGGAGAGCGCCCGCCAGAGGACCCAACUCUUGUUAUCAGUGAUGUCUGAGUACUAUUUAAUAGUUAAAACUUUCAACAACGGAUCUCUUGGUUCUG